This 253-nucleotide ribosomal RNA is filed under the name uncultured bacterium. RNAcentral describes it as "partial 16S ribosomal RNA". It matches the Rfam family "Bacterial small subunit ribosomal RNA", at positions 524 to 776 of the family's 1533-position model. The record is from RNAcentral.
UACGGAGGGUGCAAGCGUUAUCCGGAUUCACUGGGUUUAAAGGGUGUGUAGGCGGGUAUUUAAGUCAGUGGUGAAAUCUCCAGGCUCAACCUGGAAACUGCCAUUGAUACUAUUUACCUUGAAUUCUGUUGAGGUGGGCGGAAUACAUCAUGUAGCGGUGAAAUGCUUAGAUAUGAUGUAGAACACCAAUUGCGAAGGCAGCUCACUAAGCAGACAUUGACGCUGAGGCACGAAAGCGUGGGGAUCAAACAGG